RNAcentral lists this ribosomal RNA (455 nucleotides) under uncultured bacterium. RNAcentral describes it as "bacterial SSU rRNA". It matches the Rfam family "Bacterial small subunit ribosomal RNA", at positions 30 to 504 of the family's 1533-position model. The record is from RNAcentral.
CGAACGCUGGCGGUAUGCUUAACACAUGCAAGUCGAACGAGAAAGCCUCUUCGGAGGUGAUUAAAGUGGCGCACGGGUGAGUAACACGUAGAUAACCUGCCCCUUAGUUUGGGACAACCCUUCGAAAGGGGGGCUAAUACCGAAUAAUACCAAUUGUCGAGUGGCAGCUGGUUGAAAGAUUUAUCGCUAGGGGAUGGGUCUGCGGACCAUUAGUUAGUUGGUGGGGUAACGGCCUACCAAGGCAGCGAUGGUUAGCGGGUCUGAGAGGAUGAUCCGUCACACUGGAACUGAGACACGGUCCAGACUCCUACGGGAGGCAGCAGUGGGGAAUUUUGCGCAAUGGGCGAAAGCCUGACGCAGCAAUACCGCGUGAGUGAAGAAGGCCUUUGGGUCGUAAAGCUCUUUUCUAAGGGAAGAUAAUGACGGUACCUUAGGAAUAAGCACCGGCUAACUCC